Molecule: long non-coding RNA, 3399 nt
Filed under: Podarcis lilfordi (Lilford's wall lizard)
Lineage: Eukaryota; Metazoa; Chordata; Lepidosauria; Squamata; Lacertidae
Source: RNAcentral
AUACAAGUUGUACAAGUGACAAUGAAGUAUUUCAAUUAAACAGCUGAGAGACAGAUCUGCUUGCUGGAGAUCUUGCCAACAGAUCCAGCCCAGAUGGGCUUCUGCCAGCCAUAGGAUGCAAGGUGUGAAAAAGAUGGAGUGUGUCAUGUAGUGCAAUUCCACUCAGUGCCAGGAGGGGCACAGCUCUCCUGUUUCGCACAGGCUGCCUUCGUAAGUGAGAUCAUUGUGCAUCAGUGCUGCCUUUGGACCUGUGUUGAGGCUGUAUCAUGUCACACUGCGGGGCGGGAGGCUAAAUGAGAAAGAAAAACCCUGUACGUAGGAAAAACUUGCAUGCUCAGCCCUAACUUUCUCCCUGAUGUGCCGAUUAUUCUGACAGUGCUGAAUGCUGGAGGCCCAUUUAUUGUUCCGGCCUUGUUUUUCCUGUCUGUAAAAUGGGAAUAACCACAAGUUUCCAGAGCGGGUUUUGGUGAGUUCAACUGUUCAAGGCAAAGACUUUGCAUUUUAUUUUUGUACAAAGGAGUAAGCAAUCAUGGGGGGGACGGGGGACCACACCUACCUAAUUUGGAGACAGACAGUCAGGUCGUGUAACCACAGCAGUGAUCCAGAGGAGGAAUAACUGCUGGGAGGACUGCAGAGAGAAGAAAACCCCAUGGUGCAUCUGCCUCAGCUGCAACAAAACAUGUCUCUCCUGUAUUGGUCUCUAUAGCCACAACAGGCAUUGUAACCUUCCGAUAGUUUGACUUCACCCCAAAAGCACACUCAUCCAUUGUCUCCCGACAUGUUACAGCCACGAGACGCAUUUAUACUUCCAGAUGUCAUCAGUCAAUAUGGUGGGGAGUGGGCACUUAUGUCCUUGUGUCCUAUCAGCUUAAUUCUCCUUGCACCCCCUGCUUUAUAACAAGGCUAGGGGUCCAGAUCAGGCCUGGGAGCCAGGUCAUUUUCUCACCUGCCCACUGUAGGCCAAAUUUGAUCACCUGACAUCUCAGGUAAUUGUGGCCCCUUAUCACCUGUGCAGCUUGAGAACUUCUUGCGCCUGAUUAGGGAUACAGGCUGGGUCUUCCCACCCUGAUGAAAAAUGGAAUGAAUCUAUUUUAUGAUACGUGAGUCAGGAAGCUGUUUUGAGGCCUGAUCCAGGCUUGAAUGGUGGGAUGUGAACUGAACAAAUGGAUGCUAUCCUGCCAGGAUUCCAUAUGGGCAUUCCAGUGAAGUCUGGUCCAUUCUUGCUGUUGCCUUGAGGUUGCCAUAGGAACAAAGUAGGCUGCCUUGGUCCACCCAGUUCAAUACUGUCUGUAUUGUCUUGCUGCAGGGGUGUAUAGGGUGUUAGGGGAGGGGGUAGAACCUCUAGAGGGGAGGCAUAUUGUGCUCCUUCUGGGGUAAUCUGUCCAUUUUUUGUCCUCGCCUUACACUCAGCUCUCACCUGUGGCUCCCAGAAGCUGUCAGCAUGCAACGGUAGCCACACCCCGGGAAAGGCUUUGAUUGGCUGGCUAAACCAGGUGAGGGUAGCUGAUGGGUCUCAAAACCUUGGUGAGUUGGUGUGGCGUUUGCCCAUUCUUUGGGGAUACGUUUGUGUUGGGGGAGACAAAGGGUUAAUAAGGUAACGGGACCCCUGACCAUUAAGUCCAGUCGUGGCCGACUCUGGGGUUGCGGCACUCAUUUCACUUUAUUGGCCGAGGGAGCCGGCGUACAGCUUCUGGAUCAUGUGGCCAGCAUGACUAAGCCGCUUCUGGUGAACCAGAGCAGUGCACAGAAAUUCUGUUUACCUUCCCGCCGGAGCGAUACCUAUUUAUCUACUUGCACUUUUGACGUGCUUUUGAACUGCUAGGUUGGCAGGAGCAGGGACCAAGCAACAGGAGCUCACCCCGUCGCGGGGAUUCAAACUGCCAACCUUCUGGCCUGAUCGGCAAGUCCUAGGCUCUGUGGUUUAACCCACAGCACCACCCGCGUCCCUAAAGGGUUAAUAGGUUGACCAAUAAGAAAGCCCGGAGGCGGAGCCUACCUGAUUUUGAGGCUCAGCCCAGAGGAUUUGACAGUUAGUUCUGUUGGUUCUCUUUGGGGGAGGGGGGGAUAGAGGAGUCAGAGUGAGUUAGAGACAGGGACAAGCCUGAGAGGGAAUAGAGUGGCAGCAUUUUGAAUAUAUUUUAAAACUCGUUUGUGUUUGAAAUAAAAUUUAAUCUUCAUUGUUAACUUUACCUGACUAAGACUCAGUACUUCACUGGAGAGCCCUGGGUUUCCCCCCACAAAAUUGGUGGCAGCAGAAGAAUAAAGUAGUGGUGUACAAGUCAAUAGUCUGGGAAAUGACCGGGAGCUCUGUACAAACUCCACAGUUGGCGACUUCCCCUACAUGCAAAGACAUGCUCUGGCAGAUGAGACCAAUAGUGGGUCCAAUGAUCAAGAAGAUGUCAAUGUUUAAGUUACCGGUAAAUUAUUUUAAGAACUAUGAUUUGGAAAACCGUUAAAAGGACAUGCAAUGAAAUUCAACCAAGGGGAAGUGAGGAAGUCACUUAAUAAUGUUAAUAAGUGUAAUUUUUAAUAAGGUUAUGAUUUAUGUUUGUUUGUUUUAUGUGUUUGUUUAUAAUGUUGUGAAAAUCAAUUUUAAAAAAUUGGAGAAGAAGAAGAUCAUUUCUGUAUGUGCUGAGGAGGGAAGUGAAGGGCAGAUGGGAUUCGUCAACGUGGGAAGGUAGCCCAUCGAGGAGAAGGAAAACUCUGAUCCUAAACCUCCCCUGCCUUGUGGGAUAUCUUCAGGAGAAGAAAUAGCUAUGGAGUAAACCCAACACAAAUCCCGAGUGGAGUCCCAAAGUUGAGUGACGCCAUGUACACCUACCUCCUGCAGCCAAGUUGGUGCCAAACAUAUUGCUCUGCUUUCCUUUGGACCACAUCAGCGAGGCCAAGACGGGGGUCUUGUCAUCUGGGCAGCCCAGAACCUCCCUACACGCUGCCCAGGCUUGCACCCUGGGGAGGUUACCUUGGUGCUGCUAACGCAGCCUUUUGACUUCACCCCCAGAAGUGCACUCCAUUGUCUCUUGAGAUGGAUGCCAACAAUGUUCUCCAGGAUUGUAGGCAGGAAUCAUUCUCCUACCUGGAGACGCUGCCACAAAUUGAACCUGAGACCUUCUGCAUUCAAAGCAGGGGCUCUGCGCACACAGAGACACCAUAGGGGGCUGCCUUUUCUUUCUUUCUUUCUUUCUUUCUUUCUUUCUUUCUUUCUUUCUUUCUUUCUUUCUUUCUCUCUUUCUCUCUUUCUCUCUUUCUCUCUUUCUUUCUGGCUUUAUUGGCAUAAUUUAAACAGUAAGAUCAUAAAGGAGAAAGUAAGAAAAAUCUAUAAAACACUGGUAGUAUCAAACUGGUAGUAACCACCAUUAAAUAAAAUUAAGAAAUUUUAAAUUUGACUUUAAAAAUCUC